CCGGCGACGGCUCCCAGUCGGCGCACGCACAGGCCGCUGGUGACCGGGUCAGCGCCGCUCAGGAGGCUCGCGAUGGAGUCGGCACAGACAGACCCGCCGCGCCCUGCCCGCAAGAUAUCGAGCCCGGUUACGUGUUUGGCGGUUGGUAGUUACGUGACCGUGGCGGUGGUUGUCGUCGUCAUUGUCCUUUGUGUGUACGCGCUGGGUGAGCGGGCGGAGACGGACCGGCCGGACGCUCGCGACACCGCGGUCCGUAUGGCACUGAUGGCUCGGGUGCUGCUCGUCCGUCGGGCCCCCUGUCCGGACGGCAGUCCGCGGCUGCGCGGCGGGGGCUGUCGACCAGCAGUUUCCCUGACGGCACGCCGGCCACCAGUGCCACUGGCUUUUCUCUUCAUCUGAUGCAUGGCGAUCGGGCCGAACAUUUUAUUUUAAGUGAGGCAACUUCAGCGCCCGUAUCAGAUGCAUACCUCGAACCUGGUAACAUCCGUGGACGCCGAAGCCGACGGCGCACCCCCGUCAUCAGCAGGACACGGCGCAUCCCCGUCAUCAGCAGGAUAUGGCGCAUUCACGCCAUCAGCAGAACAUGGCGCAUUCCCGUCAUCAGCAGAACAUGGCGCAUUCCCGUCAUCAGCAGGACAUGGCGCAUUCCCGUCAUCAGCAGGAUAUGGCGCAUCCCCGUCAUCAGCAGAACAUGGCGCAUUCACGCCAUCAGCAGAACAUGGCGUAUUCCCGUCAUCAGCAGGACAUGGCGCACCACCGUCAUCAGCAGGACGAGGCGCUUUACCACCAUCAGCGGGAUAUGGCGCAUCCCCGUCAUUAGCAGGACAUGGCGCACCCCCGUCAUCAGCAGGACAUGAGCAUCAACAAAACGCUGCGCUGUACCGCCCUAGCUGGGUUGGGUUGCACUCGGCGUCUGCUUACGCCCGCCAGCCGUGCGCGAAACUGCAACCCGUGGUACACACGCUGCAGACAAUGUCAAGGGUGAUCUCACAUGCGAAGCCGGUGUGUUUAUCACCAGUCUGUGGUUGCUAUGUUGUCGGUACGUCAUCGUAUGUUUCUCGUGAAAUAUGUCUGAAAUUUGUCAGUUAAUUGUGUUUUGUUUCAUCUUAACCCGUGUAAAUACACGUUAU
Molecule: long non-coding RNA, 1130 nt
Organism: Pollicipes pollicipes
Lineage: Eukaryota; Metazoa; Arthropoda; Thecostraca; Pollicipedomorpha; Pollicipedidae
Exons: 3
Source: RefSeq, a predicted model, not a curated record